GCGGAUGGCCGGACGGCCGCGGGCGGGUUACUGCCCGAGGAAAGUCCGGGCUCCACAGGGCACGGUGCCGGGUAACGCCCGGCGGGGGCAACCCCAGGGAAAGCGCCACAGAGAACAGACCGCCCGGAUCCGUCCGGGCAAGGGUGAAACGGUGGGGUAAAGGCCCACCGCGGGACGGGCAACCGGACCGGCACGGCAAGCCCCACCGGGAGCAAUGCCAAAUAGGGGCCUCGCGCCGCUGCCCUUCGGGGUCGGCAGGCACGCCCGAACCCGAGAGGCCCGGGUUGGCAGCACGACCCUUCCGGUAACGGCGGGGCCAGACGAAUGGUCGUCGAACCGGGGCCUGGCACCCCCCGGCGAACAGAACCCGGCUUACAGGCCAUCCGCAGCC
This 391-nucleotide RNase P RNA is filed under the name Rubellimicrobium sp. Its description in RNAcentral is "RNase P RNA component class A". It matches the Rfam family "Bacterial RNase P class A". From Rfam's summary of the family: Ribonuclease P (RNase P) is a ubiquitous endoribonuclease, found in archaea, bacteria and eukarya as well as chloroplasts and mitochondria. The record is from RNAcentral. Lineage: Bacteria; Pseudomonadati; Pseudomonadota; Alphaproteobacteria; Rhodobacterales; Roseobacteraceae.